UACGUUACGACAACCAAAAGAGCCGAUGGAUGGGGCCCAAAGUACAGCUGGAAAAUUCAUAAUUGAUUGGCAACCGAUCUGUUUCUUCUUCACUUCCUUCUUCUCUCUCUGCAUUUUCCCUUCAAAGUUCAGACCAACCAUGGAGGUUGUUGGAGAGCUUCUUCUUUCUGCCGCCUUUCAAGUGCUGUUUGAUAAGUUGGCCUCCUCUGAUUUCCUCACCUUUGCCCGCCAAGAACACAUUCAUUCUCAACUCAAAAAGUGGGAGACCCAACUCUUCAAUAUUCGUGAAGUGCUCAACGACGCCGAGGAUAAGCAGAUUGCAAGUUCCUCUGUCAAACUCUGGCUUGCUGACCUCAGGAUCUUGGCCUAUGACAUGGAGGACAUCCUCGACGAGUUCAACACCGAAAUGCUGCGACGCAAGCUGGCAGUGCAACCUCAGGCCGCCGCCGCCAGCAGCAAGGUAUGGAGUCUCAUCCCUACUUGCUGUACUAGUUUCGCUCCCAGUCAUGUUACUUUUAAUGUUAGCAUGGGGUCCAAGAUCAAGGAUAUCACCAGCCGCUUGGAAGAUAUUUCCACUCGCAAAGCCCAACUGGGUUUGGAAAAGGUUGCAGGAACAACAACUACUACUUGGAAAAGAACACCCACCACAUCUUUGUUUAAUGAACCACAAGUUCAUGGCAGAGACGAUGACAAAAACAAGAUCGUAGAUUUGCUGCUCAGCGAUGAAUCUGCUGUUGUCCCCAUCGUUGGUAUGGGCGGGUUGGGUAAAACCACAUUAACCAGACUUGCGUAUAACGAUGAUGCGGUGGUGAAGCAUUUUAGUCCAAGAGCAUGGGUUUGUGUGUCUGUUGAGUCUGAUGUGGAGAAAAUAACAAAGGCUAUUCUCAGCGACAUCUCUCCCCAGAGCAGCGAUUUCAACAAUUUCAAUCGACUCCAAGUUGAAUUAAGCCAAUCAUUAGCUGGAAAAAGGUUUUUGCUUGUCCUGGAUGAUGUUUGGAACAUGAACUAUGAAGAUUGGAAUAACUUGCGAUCCCCUUUCAGGGGAGGGGCUAAAGGAAGUAAAGUCAUAGUAACCACACGUGAUCGAGGAGUGGCAUUAAUAAUGCAACCAUCUGAUAACUACCACCACUCUCUUGAGCCUUUAUCAGACGAUGACUGCUGGUCAAUAUUUGUACAACAUGCAUUUGAAAACAGAGACAUCCAAGAACAUCCGAAUUUAAAAUCAAUAGGCAAGAAGAUUGUUGAAAAGUGCCGUGGUUUGCCGUUAGCAGCAAAGGUGCUUGGUGGUAUCUUACGCUCCAAACAGCGAGACAAUGAAUGGGAGCAUAUAUUGAAUAGCAAAAUUUGGACCUUACCAGAUACUGAAUGUGGCAUCAUUCCUGCAUUACGGUUGAGUUAUCAUCAUCUUCCAGCGCAACUAAAAAGAUGCUUUGUUUAUUGCGCAACAUUUCCUCAAGACUACGAAUUUAGGGAAACUGAGCUAGUUUUGUUAUGGAUGGCAGAGGGAUUAAUUCAACCAUUGGAAGGAAAUAAGCAAAUGGAAGAUUUAGGUGGUGAGUACUUUCGUGAAUUGGUGUCGAGGUCAUUUUUCCAACAGUCUGGAAAUGGUGGAUCACGAUUCGUCAUGCACGACCUCAUUAGUGAUCUUGCUCAAUCAGUUGCUGGAGAACUAUGUUGCAAUUUGGAGGAUAAGUUGAAGCAUGAUAAGAACCAUACCAUUUUACAAGACACUCGCCAUGUGUCAUACAAUCGUUGUUAUUUUGGGAUCUUUAAAAAAUUUGAAGCUCUCGAGGAAGUGGAGAAGUUACGAACAUUUAUAGUGUUACCAAUUUAUCAUGGAUGGGGUUACUUAACUAGUAAGGUGUUUAGUUGCUUGUUCCCCAAACUAAGAUAUUUAAGAGUGCUAUCUUUGAGUGGGUAUUCUAUAAAAGAGUUACCAAACUCAGUCCGAGAUUUAAAGCAUUUACGAUAUCUUAAUUUGUCCAGAACUGCAAUUGAAAGGUUACCAGAAUCGAUAAGUGAGCUCUACAAUUUACAAUCCUUAAUAUUGUGUCAAUGUCAAUAUCUUGCAAUGUUACCUAAGAGCAUCGGGAAUUUGGUUGAUCUUCGACAUUUGGAUAUUACCUAUACAAUGAGCUUAAAAAAGAUGCCUCCGCACUUAGGUAACUUGGUAAAUUUGCAAACACUAUCAAAGUUUAUCGUGGAGAAAAAUAAUAGCUCAUCAAGUAUAAAAGAAUUGAAGAAGUUGCCGAACAUUAGAGGGACACUUUCCAUUUUAGGGUUGCAUAAUGUGGCGGAUGCUCAAGAUGCAAUGGAUGUGGAUUUGAAGGGGAAGCAUAACAUUAAAGAUUUAACAAUGGAAUGGGGCAAUGAUUUUGAUGAUACUCGCAAUGAACAGAAUGAAAUGCAAGUUUUGGAGUUGCUUCAACCCCAUAAAAAUCUGGAAAAACUCACCAUCUCAUUUUAUGGUGGAGGAAUAUUCCCAAGUUGGAUGAGGAACCCUUCAUUCUCACUGAUGGUGCAGUUGUGUCUCGAAGGUUGCAGAAACUGCACACUGUUACCAUCUCUUGGGCAAUUGUCCUCGCUCAAAAACUUGCGCAUUGAAGGAAUGAGUGGAAUAAAAAAUAUAGAUGUUGAAUUUUACGGGCAGAAUGUGGAGUCUUUUCAAUCGUUGGAGUCUCUAACCUUUUCGGAUAUGCCAGAGUGGGAAGAAUGGCGUUCUCCCAGUUUCAUUGAUGAAGAGAGAUUAUUUCCUCGCCUCCGUAAGCUUACGAUGACGCAAUGUCCAAAAUUGGCUGGGAAGUUACCCAGUUCGUUAAGUUCCCUCGUAAAGCUAGAGAUAGUGGAAUGUUCGAAGUUGAUUCCUCCGCUUCCAAAAGUUUUAUCUCUCCAUGAAUUAAAAUUAAAAGCAUGUAACGAAGAAGUGUUGGGCAGAAUUGCAGCUGAUUUCAACUCCCUUGCAGCGUUGGAAAUUGGAGAUUGCAAAGAGGUGAGAUGGUUGAGAUUAGAAAAGCUCGGCGGGCUGAAGCGUUUAAAGGUGCGUGGAUGUGAUGGACUCGUAUCCUUGGAGGAGCCAGCUCUACCAUGCAGUCUUGAAUAUCUGGAAAUAGAAGGGUGUGAAAAUAUUGAGAAGCUGCCAAAUGAAUUGCAAAGUCUCAGGUCAGCAACUGAGUUAGUAAUCGGAAAGUGUCCGAAGCUUAUGAACAUUCUGGAGAAAGGGUGGCCGCCCAUGCUAAGGAAACUUAGAGUGUAUGGUUGUGAGGGUAUCAAGGCACUACCAGGUGAUUGGAUGAUGAUGAGGAUGGAUGGUGACAACACCAACUCCUCAUGUGUCCUUGAAAGAGUGCAAAUUAUGAGGUGUCCAUCUCUCCUUUUCUUUCCAAAAGGUGAAUUACCCACCUCACUUAAACAACUGAUAAUUGAAGAUUGUGAAAAUGUCAAGUCCCUACCGGAGGGUAUUAUGGGCAAUUGCAAUCUCGAGCAGUUAAAUAUCUGCGGAUGUUCAUCUCUGACGUCAUUUCCAAGUGGUGAGUUACCCUCCACCCUUAAGCACCUCGUCAUUUCGAAUUGUGGGAAUCUGGAAUUGCUGCCGGAUCACAUGCCCAACCUCACAUAUCUUGAAAUUAAGGGAUGUAAGGGUCUCAAACAUCAUCACUUGCAAAACCUCACUUCUCUUGAAUGCCUGUAUAUAAUUGGAUGUCCGAUUAUAGAGUCAUUACCGGAAGGGGGUUUGGGUUUCGCCCCCAACUUGAGAGAUGUUGACAUUACCGAUUGUGAGAAUCUGAAGACGCCUCUGUCAGAGUGGGGACUCAAUUGGCUCCUCUCUCUCAAAAAACUCACCAUUGCUCCAGGUGGAUAUCAAAAUGUGGUUUCAUUUUCACAUGGUCAUGAUGACUGCCACCUUCGUCUUCCUACAUCUCUCACCUAUCUAAAAAUUGGAAAUUUCCAGAAUCUGGAAUCCAUGGCCUCCCUGCCUCUCCCGACCCUCAUUUCCCUUGAACAUCUUUGUAUCUCGGAUUGUCCAAAGCUCCAGCAGUUUUUGCCGAAGGAAGGGCUACCAGCAACACUCGGAUGGCUUCAGAUCCGGGGUUGUCCUAUCAUAGAAAAGAGGUGCUUAAAGGGCAGAGGAGAAGAUUGGCCCCGCAUUGCCCACAUCCCCGACAUUCAUAUAGGCGGCAAUUGAGACCUUCACUCAAUUUUCUCUCUGCAAAACAAAUGAGAGCAGACGUUGUUCAACCAGGUCUGUCCAAUUGAAUUUGGACUUCAUGUUGGAGACUCUAACUUUGGAGUGAAUCUUGUGUGGGCACUUGCUAUUUCUCGGUUGUUUUUCUUGUUUACAAAGCAAUGUUUACAAUGCGAUGAGUGAAUCAAGGGUAACCCAAUGACAUAAGAAAGAGCUGUUGCAAUAGCCUUAUGCUGCUGAUGCUAUAGUUUACCAUUGAAGCUAAGAAGUCUUGUGCUAAGUGAUUGUAUUUGAAGGAACCACCUACUGGAAUGAUUUUGUUUCUAGGAUUUGAUGGAAGCUGAUGACUAUUUAUUUAUUGUUCACACUUCUGUGAAUAUCCAAAAAGUCACACAUUUUGGCCAUUCAUCUUAUUUUGACUCUGUUUGAAAUACUUGAGAAGGCCACACAGCAACGGUAGUUCUCCUAAAUACUGAGAGAUUAAGUUUUGUUCAGUUUUGAUGUUGCUUGAGAGAGUUGAGUUACAAUUGAAUUUUGAAAAUCUUCAAGAUUCUGGUUGCAAGUAAAUAGAGUUGUUUUAAGGGAAGUUAUAUGUUACAAAUCGGUACCUUAAAGCAUUUCACAGUCGAGUCUUUAGCAAUGGGAAGUUUAACCGGGUGCCUCCGUAGACUCUUGCAUCUUAUUGAACCCCAUAUUUGAUUACAAGAAAAUGUAGAAGUAGAGCCAUCCAUUCCCUCCCUUGUAUGUAAUCAGGUAUAUUAUUGGCAAUGUACAACUCUUACCUUUUUCAAUAUUAAAUUCUCUACAGUACAUCGGUACAUGUAGGAUUAGCAGAAGGAAAUAAUCUCCUAACAAAAACAUAAUUGUUAAUAACUCAUGUACGUGGUGUGUUUUUCAAUUUGGCUAAUAAAAUGACAUUGUUACUUCCUAAUUCAAUUUCAUUUAAGCUUCAGUCCUUUUUAUGUAGUUUGCGGGCUAGUACAAGUCAGUAGGUUCAAGAACUCUAAAGGAUCCCCCAAGUUUGCAACUCUCUUGAAAGCAUUAUAGGUUGAGAAGGAUCCUAGGCUUUGCCAUUCCUUAAUUUGUAGAGGAGACCAAAAGACAAUCAUAAAUAUAGGUGUUUUCAAGAGAAAGAAGAAGAUUGUAGUGGUGAUGACCACAUCUGACCACAUCCCCUAUGUAUGCAUUAAGAAUCCUAGUUUCUCUUCAUGGAAGUCUAAGCAGAGAUGAUCUCACAGCAUAUAAUUCUUACCUUAUCUGGUAUGAAACUUGCCACUUCUUGCAUAUUCAUUGAAUCCCCUACUGUACAUGAAAGUUGAAAAAGAGGAAAAAGUGGAACCCAGGGCAUCUUUUUCACUUUUGUGUUGAAUCUUGGGCAAUAUUUGUUUAUUGGAAAUAUAUAUUAAUUUAUGUUUCAUCUUGCCAAUAUCUUCUGUAUCUCCUGUGAGGAAACUGAUGGCGUCCUUGAUGAUAAAGUUUUUUUUUUUUUCUGAUUUUGAAAUUUAUCUACUUGCAUUUGAUAAUAAGGAAUGCUUUCUAAUUGACUUUGUCUUAUAUGUUAAUAUGCAGGAAACUUAUCUUAUUUUAUUAUCAAAAUUGAGAAAGAUUUUUCCACUGACUUGAAAAUGUGGCCUGCAGAAAGGGAGGUGGGCAGUGUUGAUUUUCUCAAACUUUUGAAUUAAUCAUGUUAUGUAGCAUUCUGACAAAUUUUGUAAUGCUUUCCAACUGUAAGAAAUGUAUUGUUUUACAUCUUAUCUGUUUAGGAUUAAUUACAUCACUUUCUUCCCUUUUCUUGUCUCUUGAAGGCUGUGGUUCAAGGAGUUGCUAAAGUUUUUUAUUUGUUAUAGGAGAAGGAUGAAAAGGAGAAAAAUAGGAAGGUCAAACAAGUUCAAAAUUUCCUAACCAUGGGCUCAAGAAGUUAUUCCAGGUUUGUCAAAAGAAUGGAUUACCAUCUUUUUAUUGUGUCAGCUACUGUUUGACUGCAUUGUUUUGUACAAGGUUAAUGUUACUUUUGUAUGUUUAUUGAUAUUUUUAGUGAUAUAACCAUUACUUUCAUUUGUUCAUUGAUGGAAUCUUUUCCUGAUUUUAUAAUUAUCAUAUAAAGUUUCCAUCUUUAGGACUUAUUCUAAACCACUUCCUGGAGACAGUCUCUGUCAUUAGUCUCAUGCAGGAUGCAUGGUCUCAUUAGCUUUCCUAGUUAAAGGCUAGAGAGACAAGUUCACCUCGUUCUUAAGGAGCUUAAGAUUCUGGACUGCAAAUAACAUGAAGGCCCUGCAGUGUGAUAAAAGGAUUCCCAACUUUUAUUAGGGUGCCUCCACAGCCCUUUGCAUCUAACUGAAACUCGUAUCGGUGAGAAGCACGAGUAGAACUGUCCAUUCUCACCUUAGAUGCAAGCAGGCCAUGACUGGAGUGAAGCCAUAUAUAUGCAGUAUGCCAUUGAGGAUGGAUGAGGGAUGCAAUACAAUCUAGUAGAAUCUUGCUGAUUUUACCAGAAAAGCAUAUGGAGCCGACCAUGUUGAGGCAUCGUGAGUUCAGGUUCAUGCAAAUUGCCUGCUGAGAAGGAUUUAUUUCUCUGACCCCCUUUGCUUCCAAGAAGAACUCCCACCAGAAUUCAAACUGUAUCUCCCAAUGCAGAAAGCAUGAUGGGGUUUGUGGCACAGUAAGCUAAGGAACUUGUGCUGCCCAUGUUUUCAGAACACAGUAUCUUCAAAAUUCAGAAUGUGUUUAUUCACCAAGGGAUGACAUUUGAACCUGCUGAGAUGAGCACCAUCUUUUCUACUUGCUUGAUAUUUGUUUAAAAUAUUACCAUUUUAGGAUUUCAUAAAGCGAAUAUAUCUUAUUUCGUCAAGCCCAUUUUGUGGGUGGAAUGGGGAUUUCAUGAUUUGAGUAUUUAUAUUUCAUACUGUAAUUUUUGUGGUCACAAUUCAAUGGAUGUGCUGUUGUAGUAGUGAAACUUCUUCAUAACACAAGGCUGUGUUUUGAGCAAGGAAUCAAAUGAUUUUGCAGAA
RNA transcript from Vitis vinifera (wine grape), 7191 nucleotides. It is a transcript of the gene named putative disease resistance RPP13-like protein 1, with no coding region annotated. Lineage: Eukaryota; Viridiplantae; Streptophyta; Magnoliopsida; Vitales; Vitaceae. The transcript is spliced from 8 exons. The record is from RefSeq and is a predicted model, not a curated record.